CCACGGGUGGCAGCAGUGGGGAAUAUUGCGCAAUGGGCGAAAGCCUGACGCCGCGACGCCGCGUGAGGGAUGAAGGUCUUCGGAUCGUAAACCUCUGUCAGCAGGGACGAACGGUCACUGUGCUAAUCAGCAGUGAAUUGACGGUACCUACACAGGAAGCACCGGCUAACUCCGUGCCAGCAGCCGCGGUAAUACGGAGGGUGCGUGCGUUAAUCGGAAUUACGGGGCGUAAAGCGCGCGUAGGCGGUAUGUCAAGUCAAGGGUGAAAUCCCCGCGCUCAACGUGGGAACUGCCUUUGAAACUGGCAAACUGGAGAGUGUUAGAGGAUAGUGGAAUUCCAGGUGUAGGAGUGAAAGCCGUAGAUAU
Molecule: ribosomal RNA, 366 nt
Filed under: uncultured bacterium
Lineage: Bacteria
Description: partial 16S ribosomal RNA
Rfam family: Bacterial small subunit ribosomal RNA
Source: RNAcentral